GUGCUCGCUUCUGCAGCACAUAUACUAAAAUAGGAAUGAUUACAUGGCCCCUGGGCAAGGAUGACACACCAAUUCAUGAAGGGUUCCAUAUUUUU
This 95-nucleotide small nuclear RNA is filed under the name Suricata suricatta (meerkat). Lineage: Eukaryota; Metazoa; Chordata; Mammalia; Carnivora; Herpestidae. The record is from RNAcentral.